GUUCGGGUCCUGUGCAUCGGCCGUUCUCGAACCGCGUCAGGCCCGGAAGGGAGCAGCGCUAAGGGAUCCGGCCGAGUGCCGCAGACCAACCGGAACCC
This 98-nucleotide signal recognition particle RNA is filed under the name Acidobacteriota bacterium. RNAcentral's name for it is "Acidobacteria bacterium (sediment metagenome) signal recognition particle sRNA small type". It matches the Rfam family "Bacterial small signal recognition particle RNA". Rfam says of the family: The signal recognition particle (SRP) is a universally conserved ribonucleoprotein involved in the co-translational targeting of proteins to membranes. Archaeal SRP consists of a 7S RNA and homologues of the eukaryotic SRP19 and SRP54 proteins. The record is from RNAcentral. Lineage: Bacteria; Pseudomonadati; Acidobacteriota.